CUACGGGCGGCAGCAGCGGGGAAUAUUGCACAAUGGAGGAAACUCUGAUGCAGCAACGCCGCGUGGAGGAUGACACUUUUCGGAGCGUAAACUCCUUUUAUAUAGGAAGAAGAUGACGGUACUAUAUGAAUAAGCGCCGGCUAACUCCGUGCCAGCAGCCGCGGGUGAAUACGGAGGGCGCAAGCGUUACUCGGAAUCACUGGGCGUAAAGAGCGUGUAGGCGGAUUAAAAAGUCAGAAGUGAAAUCCUAUAGCUUAACUAUAGAACUGCUUCUGAAACUCUUAAUCUAGAAUAUGGGAGAGGUAGAUGGAAUUUCUGGUGUAGGGGUAAAAUCCGUAGAGAUCAGAAGGAAUACCGAUUGCGAAGGCGAUCUACUAGAACAUUAUUGACGCUGAGACGCGAAAGCGUGGGGAGCAAACAGGAUUAGAUACCCUUGUAGUC
Molecule: ribosomal RNA, 441 nt
Filed under: uncultured bacterium
Lineage: Bacteria
Description: partial 16S ribosomal RNA
Rfam family: Bacterial small subunit ribosomal RNA
Source: RNAcentral